This 117-nucleotide transfer RNA is filed under the name Daphnia magna. It matches the Rfam family "tRNA". Rfam says of the family: Transfer RNA (tRNA) molecules are approximately 80 nucleotides in length. Their secondary structure includes four short double-helical elements and three loops (D, anti-codon, and T loops). Further hydrogen bonds mediate the characteristic L-shaped molecular structure. tRNAs have two regions of fundamental functional importance: the anti-codon, which is responsible for specific mRNA codon recognition, and the 3' end, to which the tRNAs corresponding amino acid is attached (by aminoacyl-tRNA synthetases). tRNAs cope with the degeneracy of the genetic code in two manners: having more than one tRNA (with a specific anti-codon) for a particular amino acid; and 'wobble' base-pairing, i.e. permitting non-standard base-pairing at the 3rd anti-codon position. Lineage: Eukaryota; Metazoa; Arthropoda; Branchiopoda; Diplostraca; Daphniidae. The record is from Rfam by way of RNAcentral.
GUCAGGAUGGCCGAGCGGUCUAAGGCGCCAGACUCAAGCGUGCAGCUUGCCGGUGAAACCGGUGAUAAGAAUUCUGGUCUUCGAUAGAAGGCGUGGGUUCAAAUCCCACUUCUGACA